This 939-nucleotide ribosomal RNA is filed under the name uncultured bacterium. RNAcentral's name for it is "bacterial SSU rRNA". It matches the Rfam family "Bacterial small subunit ribosomal RNA", at positions 54 to 983 of the family's 1533-position model. The record is from RNAcentral.
CAUGCAAGUCGAGGGGAAACGACAUCGAAAGCUUGCUUUUGAUGGGCGUCGACCGGCGCACGGGUGAGUAACGCGUAUCCAACCUGCCCACCACUUGGGGAUAACCUUGCGAAAGUAAGACUAAUACCCAAUGACGUCUCUAGAAGACAUCUGAAAGAGAUUAAAGAUUUAUCGGUGAUGGAUGGGGAUGCGUCUGAUUAGCUUGUUGGCGGGGUAACGGCCCACCAAGGCGACGAUCAGUAGGGGUUCUGAGAGGAAGGUCCCCCACAUUGGAACUGAGACACGGUCCAAACUCCUACGGGAGGCAGCAGUGAGGAAUAUUGGUCAAUGGACGAGAGUCUGAACCAGCCAAGUAGCGUGCAGGAAGACGGCCCUAUGGGUUGUAAACUGCUUUUAUAAGGGAAUAAAGUGAGAGUCGUGACUCUUUUUGCAUGUACCUUAUGAAUAAGGACCGGCUAAUUCCGUGCCAGCAGCCGCGGUAAUACGGAAGGUCCGGGCGUUAUCCGGAUUUAUUGGGUUUAAAGGGAGCGUAGGCCGGAGAUUAAGCGUGUUGUGAAAUGUAGAUGCUCAACAUCUGAACUGCAGCGCGAACUGGUUUCCUUGAGUACGCACAAAGUGGGCGGAAUUCGUGGUGUAGCGGUGAAAUGCUUAGAUAUCACGAAGAACUCCGAUUGCGAGGGCAGCUCACUGGAGCGCAACUGACGCUGAAGCUCGAAAGUGCGGGUAUCGAACAGGAUUAGAUACCCUGGUAGUCCGCACGGUAAACGAUGGAUGCCCGCUGUUGGUCUGAAUAGGUCAGCGGCCAAGCGAAAGCAUUAAGCAUCCCACCUGGGGAGUACGCCGGCAACGGUGAAACUCAAAGGAAUUGACGGGGGCCCGCACAAGCGGAGGAACAUGUGGUUUAAUUCGAUGAUACGCGAGGAACCUUACCCGGGCUUG